ACUCCUACGGGAGGCAGCAGUAGGGAAUAUUGGUUCAAUGGGCGAAAGCCUGAACCAGCCAUGCCGCGUGUCAGAUGAAGGUCCUCUGGAUUGUAAAUGACUUUUCUUACGGGAAGAAUGAGCCGUCUGCGGACGGAAGUUGACGGUACCGUAGGAAUAAGCACCGGCUAACUACGUGCCAGCAGCCGCGGUAAUACGUAGGGGUGCAAGCGUUGUCCGGAUUUACUGGGUUUAAAGGGUACGUAGGCGGUUGUGCCAAGUCUGGGGUGAAAGUUUGCAGCUCAACUGUAAAAUUGCCUUGGAUACUGGUCGGCUAGAGUAGUGGAGCGGUGGCUGGAAUUUAUAGUGUAGCGGUGAAAUGCUUAGAUACUAUGAGGAACACCAAUUGCGAAGGCAGGUCACUGGUCACUAACUGACGCUGAGGUACGAAAGUGUGGGGAUCAAACAGGAUUAGAUACCCUGGUAGGAUAGCG
This 473-nucleotide ribosomal RNA is filed under the name uncultured bacterium. RNAcentral's name for it is "bacterial SSU rRNA". It matches the Rfam family "Bacterial small subunit ribosomal RNA", at positions 335 to 799 of the family's 1533-position model. The record is from RNAcentral.